Molecule: long non-coding RNA, 6324 nt
Filed under: Sus scrofa (pig)
Lineage: Eukaryota; Metazoa; Chordata; Mammalia; Artiodactyla; Suidae
Description: lncRNA (ENSSSCG00015015473.1)
Source: RNAcentral
UUGACAGACCUGCAUAUUCAGGUUACUAGUCCAAAACCCUCCACAGUCUUAACCUCAACUGCUCAAAGAGAAACUCUACCAAUUUAAUCUGAUGGACUGUUUUUUGGAUUCCAUUUAAUGUGGAUGUUAACUUUUUGUUUUGUUUUCCAUGAUUUCAUGCUAUUACCAUCUAAUUAGAUUCAAAAUCAGGAAUUAGAAUUAGAAUGCAUGUAAUAAUUGUUAUUUUUCUUUUGAUCCUAGUUACAUUCUUGAUGCGAUGUAUAGUCUGUGUGUAUACAUAUGUGAGUGUGUGUACUGUACAAAUAGCAAUGGAUAUUAAAUCUGGAAUAUUAAUUUGAAACUGAGUUUUUCCUCAUGAAUACCUGAGCUUGAUGGAGUCUGUCUCCUUGAAUCUUGAUUGAUUGAUCUUCAAAAGCUGAGGUAAUGGUUACUUCCAAGCACGUAAGGCUGCUCUGAAGUCUGUCUUGCUAACCAAGGUGCUGAACAGAUAAUUUACACAUUGGAAACCAAGGGAUGUUUGGAUGUAUGAGAAUUGGGGCAAAUUGAAAUCAGUAUAAGAGGCUAAAUAUUAUUUGUGUCUCAGGGUAAUGUUUUCCUUUUGGGAUAUUUCAUACUGUACUUAGGACCUGAUAGUUUGAAGAAAAAAAAAUUCAAGCUAGAAUGCACUGUGGAGAGAAAGAGAAUGAUGCUGUGAAAAUUUAAAUCCCACAACUGUGUUGGCUAGAAAUAUAUCAGUUUUCAGGCAUCUGGACAUGAAUUUCUCAGCCUUUGAGAAAGGCAGACUCAACCAGCAUGCCCUUUCACUAUGACUGCCCCAGAAAUGUGGGAUGCUCUGUUUGAAACUGAGCUCUGUGUCAAUCCCUGAUGUCUCAAUUUCUGACACACUAAACACAAGCCAAAGAGGAAAUGUGCUUCUGAGGAGUGAAGCACCCUCGCUCUCAUUUUCUCACUAUCCUGCCUCAUGCCACUACUCUUCAGGUUGAUUGUUCUCAAGAACUGGGUCUUAGUGCUGAGUAAAGAAUACUUUUCCAAAGCAUUUCUUCCAAAGUAUAUCUUGAUGGAUUCUACAAAAUAUUAAGCGAGAUUUUGUUCGCUGAGAUAAAAUGAAAUGAUGUAUAUUUCUGGAGACAGUCUCAUUGACUUUUUCCUGUUUCCUUUCCUUUCCUCUUUUCUAUAUAAAUAUACUUUUUAAAAUCCAAGUAUAAUGGUAGAUUUAAUUUCCAGAGGAUGAGACAUAUUAAGGCUUUGUUUUCUUCUGUUUGUAUUGAAACAAUUGUAUGAUAAAAAUGUUUAUUGUGGGAGUUCCCGUCGUGGCGCAGUGGUUAACGAAUCCGACUAGGAACCAUGAUAUUGCGGGUUCGGUCCCUGCCCUUGCUCAGUGGGUUAAUGAUCCGGCGUUGCCGUGAUCUGUGGUGUAGGUUGCAGACACGGCUCGGAUCCCGCGUUGCUGUGGCUCUGGUGUAGGCCAGUGGCUACAGCUCCGAUUCAACACCUAGCCUGGGAACCUCCAUAUGCCGCAGGAGCGGCCCAAAGAAAUAGCAAAAAAACCAAAAAAAAAAAAAAAAAGUUUAUUGUGGAAGUUCCCGUCAUGGUUCAGUGGUUAACAAAUCUGACUAGGAACCAUGAGGUUACGGGUUCGAACCCUGGCCUUGCUCAGUGGGUUAAGGAUCCGGCGUUGCCAUGAGCUGUGGUGUAGGUGGCAGAUGUGGCUCAGAUCUUCUGUUGCUGUGGCUGUGGUGUAGGCUGGCAGCUGUAGCUCCGAUUAGACCACUAGCCUGGGAAACUCCAUAUGCCGCAGGUACGGCCCUAGUAAAGGCAAAAAAGAAGACACACACACAAAAAAUGUUUAUUGUGGCUUAAAAGGCAAUGAAUCUGUUCAGAUAAGUCAGUAACAUGAGCAAUCCUGCCUGACUUUUCUUCCUCACAGUCCUUAUCAGUAUCCUUCAUUUUUCAGUGACUUAUUAAGCACCUACUAUUGCCAGAUGCUGUUUUCGGUAGCUGGCCUAAAACAUAAGGAUGAAGACUGACUCAAACAUUGACCCCCUGGAGCAUUCAAAUGGGGGAUUCAUAUAGGAACAUAGGAAUACAUAAGUAAGACAGUUUCUACCAGUGAGAAAUGCUGAGCAGGAUUAUAGACCUCUGAAUUUAUAUAGAUGUUCAGGGAGGCCUUUGCUGAGGUCAUUGGUCGUUGAACUGAGUCUCAAAUGUAAGAAGCCAGGUAUGGUAAUACCUGGGACAGAAGUAUGUUAGAAAGAGAAAAAAAUAAGGUUCAAGGGCCUUGGAGGACAGGAAAAUGUCCAGUGUGCCUGAGCAUAAUGAGUAUGUCUACGAGUGGUUGGAGGUGAAGUGGGACAGAUACACAAAGUAAGACAUUUCAGGAAUUUGGCCUUGUUGUUAUUGUGAUGGGAAACCAGAGGGAGGAUAUAGGGAGGGGAAGAUGGUAAUAUGUGUUAUAAUAUGUCCUUCUGCACGCUGUGUAGAGCUGCCUUCUAGGAGUUGCAGUUGGAGACAAGAGAUAGGUGAGAAGGCCAUAGUUAGCUGUGUUCCAGCCAAAAGAUCCUAUCAUCUUAGACUAGAGUGGAGGCAGGAGUUGUGGGUAGAUGCACUGUCAGAUCAGUUGUGCCCUGCAGUUUGGAAGGAGGACUUUUGUGAAGAAAAGAUAGAAAUGAAUCAAGACUCCCUCCUAGGCUUCUGUCUUGAGUGAGAAGGGGGAUGGUGGAAUCGUUAACUGAGGUGGGGAGAGUUGAGAGAGGAUUUGGGGGUAGAGGAUGGGGGUGAAAGUUGUUUUAAGCAUCAUGUGUUCUCAAUUCUUGUUAGAUAUGCAAGUGGAUAUUUUGAGAAGGUAAUUGGUUAGAGAGUGAAAUGGAGGGGAGCAGAUUCCUGCUGAAAGAGCAGACAGUAUAAAGAAGGGCUGUGGUGCAGGAGAGAGUAGGUAUGGACACCUGCAUCAGCAUUGAAAGGCAGGGAGGGGAGACCUACAUGGUGUAACUGGGAGGGAUUUCAUGUAGUUGCAGUGCAGUGAGGCUGUUAUCAGGAGUUAUCAACCCUGAAUGCAUUUUGAAUGCCAUGGGGGAGCAAUAAAAUAUAUAUACCCAUGCUCAGACCCCACCUUAGACUGAUCAGUACCCUUUUUGGACAGGGAAGGGAGUGGCAGACAUCAGUAGUCUUUAUAAUGUUCCCCAGGUGAUUCUAAGGUGUUGCCAGAGUUAUAUAGGUAGCUAGAUUAAAAGAAAGGAAAGAAUGGCCUGCUAAAUCCAUUAGGGAAGUGGCUCUGUAUCUAGGAAGUAAAAGUACCCCAGUAGAACCUACAACCUUUAUCCUUUGGAGAAGACAAAACGUUGGAAAAGAGGGAAGGCCGAGUAUUGCAAGGCUGAGGCUGGGAAUCACAUCAUCCCUACCUGCACCAAAGGCUGGAAACCAAAGCCAACCAAGACUCUGUUCAGUGUGGUUGCCCUUCACGGAAGAGCAGGGUAUGGCCCUGAUAAAUGGCAGCAGUGAGAGGAAAAGGGAGAGGGUGAGUUUCCCACACAACUCCUCCCUGACAAGCCAAGCACUGCAGAUACUUCAGCCCAAGGCAAGGCUCCUAUGGCAAGUCUCAGACUUAAAUUUCCUCUUCAUCCCUAGUAUUGGCUGAAUCUACUUUCUGAGCAAAAUUGUUUAUAGAAAAGUGAAACUUUUUUUGUCUCUAACAAUUUGGCAGUAAUUUAUAAUACCAGCAUUUUUAGAGGCAGAGUGAAAUGGAUGGUAGUAUCAUUUAAUGUGAAGUAUUUCAAUAAUCAUCCUUACCUUUGUUCAGUGAUUCUUCCAGACUUGCAUAAGAAAGGAGGGAAGGAGGGGGAGAGGGAAGGAAGGAAGAAAGGAAGGAAGGAAAGGAAAUGUGUUCAUCGACUUUGUGUGAAGGAGUUCAUUGCACAAAUACACACUUGCAAAGAUUUAUUAACACAAAUUUUCAACAAAGUAGGCAUUACAUAUCAUGUCUUUAAAAUCAUGGCAUGGGAAAGCAUUUACCAUAUAAUAUGAAGUAUGAAAAGUAGGCUUUAAAAUCAUAUAUAGCAGUUAUAUAUGACUACCUUAGAAAAUAAACAUUAUAAUAAGAUACAAAAUUGUAAAAAACAGCUCUUGCUGAGUGAUGGCAUUAUGGUCUACUUUAAUUUUUUUUUUUUUAAUUUCACUUGGACUUCAUUUUAUCUUACUUUAAAUUUCCUUAAUGUUUCAUGCAAUUCAGAUGUUCUAGGGUUUUAGUGAGAACAAAAAUUGAAAUGGUAUUUUAAAAGAGAUUGAUAAAUAAGUUCUUAAUUUUGCAUGAGUUUAAUGAUGAGCUUUAUUAUCUGAUUUUCUAAACUUGGAAUAAUAGUAUCUGCCUCUGAAAGAUGUUAUGCAAAUGAAGGGAAUGACCAGUGGGAAAGCAUGCUGUGUCAUUUCUGAUACAUACUAGAAUCCCAUCAGUGUGAAUGCACCACUGCCUCUACUUCUAAAAAUGAACUUUAUCCCAUGCAGGUACUGGGUUUCACCUAACCUUCUGUCGGUAUAGGUGCCAUAGUAAAAUAGGUGUAAAAUAGUUUCAUCAUCUAUGCUAAUUGAUAUGCUGGUCAUUGGUGAAAAGCAGCAUCCCCCAGGGAUGACCCAUCACCGGGUAAGCCAUGUACGGCCAUGCCAUUGCUUUUUGUCGGUGACUGGUAUAGGAUUGGAUGUUGUUCGGGCAAGGAGAGGUUAAGGGAAUGUGCUGGAGACAGUAGGGAAGGAUUUCUUAUCUGAAUUAAAGAAGGGAAAGAGACUGGAGAACUUGUGUGUUCUGACCUGUGUUUGCUAACUUUUCAUGGAAUCACAAAGCCUGGAACUGCUCCAUCCUUAAUGGGGCCAUGAAACUGUGGGCCUAGAGAUAAAGACCUGGACCUUGAGGAGUCCAUGGAGCUGUCAAAACAAUAGAGUCUGUUUACCUUUGGGCAUCUUGUUGAAUAAACGGCCUUGACAGUCAGUCUAUAGGCCUCUGAUGGUCAAAUGUUUGUCAUUUGCAGCCAGAAGCAGUGCCGUUGACACACCACCUGUGGAAUUUGAUACCUGGUUCUCUAACAGAAAUAGAAAAGUGAGGGGAAAAAAGCUCUGUGUCUACUUAUUUUAUUUUUCAUUUUAUGUUUUUGGCUGUACCUGCAACAUGUGGAAGUUCCCAGGCCAGGGAUCUAACCCACUCCACAGUAGCAAGCCCAGCCACUGCAGUGACAAUGCCAAAUCCUUAACCUUCUGUGCCACAGGGGAACUCCUGUGUCUAUUUAUUUUAAACAUGUAUAACAUCAGACUUUUUUCUUUUAACACAUUUUUUUCUUCCUAUUAAUGGCUAGCUAACCUGGUAAAAUAAUUUAAUUUAAUGUUCAUUCAAAUUUACUGCUGUAAGUUACUCUAGGAACCAAGCCAAAUGAAUUUGGGAGAAUCUGAGAAUCUUAAGCAAAUACAUUGUGAAUUACAACUCUGUAGAAUUCCGUAUCCAAUGUUAUGUCCUAAGGUUUAGAUGGCACACCAUAACACUUCUGAUUAUGCCUAGAUUUUUAAAUUAUACACUGAUUGCCACAGUCACUGAAAAUUUCAUUUAGCUGGAUUUCUCUAAAAUGUUUCAGAUAUUUAUAUUCUGAUAAUAUAGAAAUAUAGAGUUAAAAUUAGGCUACCCUAAAAUGUGUAUGUUUUAUAUGUGUAAUUUAGAGCAAAUUUUGCUGCCCCAGGGAGGAAAUGUUACAGAUGAUGGCUAGAUUCUUUGGGUAAUUUGUGAAAGUGCUGUGUAAACAUGAAAAUAUUCAGGGCAUAUGUUAUUAUUUAUCUGGAAAUGUAACUGAAAUACUGGUUUAUUUUCAGUUAGAAAUAGUAAUAAUUGCAAUGAAACAUUUUAGAAGAGGCUAUGCUAGAACACUUGUUUUUCCUCAGGAUUAUACAAGCUUUUAAUUUAUUUUUACCAAGUAUUAGUGAUAUAAUGAACACAAGUAAUAUACUGAUGAAAUUUAAAGUAUAGAUGAAAGAUAGAAAUGUUUAUUGAUACUUAAAUACAAUUUACUACUACUACUCUCUCUCUCUCUUUUUUCCCUUGGUGAGGAAGGGACUUCCAGAUCAAGAAAUCCUUGAUGGGGGUUCUCUUGUGGCACAGCAGGUUUAGAAUCCAGUGUUGUCACUGCAGUGGCUGGGGUUGCUGCUGUAGGGCAGUUUCCAUCGCUGGCCCAGAAGCUUCUAUAUACUGCAGGUACUGGAAAAAAAGUUAAAAAAGAAGGAAGGAAGGAAAAGAAAGAAAGAAGGAAAGAAAGAAAGAAAGAAAGAAGGAAAGAAAGAAAGAAAGAAAGAAAAAAA